UAGGUAUAGAAAAAAUGCAUUACUUAAAUCAAUGACAGUGAAGCAAGUGGCAUCAUGUGGAAUGGCUGUAAUGAGGGAUGUCACAUCAGGGACAAUGGGUGAAAUGGGCACAAUUAAACUAUUCAGGGCUCUAAAGUCCUGAACUAAGCGAUAUGCUGGCCAGUGGUGUUGGGAGUGGGUCUGGUGUUGUUCUUGCCUACCGGGCAUAUUUUGAGAAUUGUGGGGUUGUUGGGGUGUGUGGGGUUUCCUGGGGUGUGGACACUCAUUCCUCCAGUGGCCACAGUUGAAACAAGUGUUCCUGUCUAUUCCUCCUUGGUUACCCCUGCCCCUAUAACCCUGAUUUCCCUGUCUCCAUCCCCUUGCCCCUCUUUGACCACCCCUUCCACGGGCUUUAUGUGCUCCAUCCCAUCCUCGCUCUCAGCCUGUGUAGCUGGACAUAAUAUGUUGCAAUCCCUGAGCAUAAUAAGCAACCUUACUUUCCUAAAUCUUUUCUUAAUUCAAAACAACCUGCAUUUUCCUUUUCUAUAACCUUGGUAAGAAAAUCUGAGCUAUCCAAAUUGGCCCAGUCUGAAAUCAAUUGUUUGACAAGCAAAUAAUACUGUGGCAACAUAUUACCAAGGCAUGACUGUAUUUUAAAGAGAUCUAUAUCAUCUCCAGACAUCAAACCUGCCUCAUCCUUCCAACACUUGUAAAAUUUCUUUACAAAAAUCAUAUUACCAAUCUCUUCCUUUGCAUCUUGCUUAUAUGCCAAAGCAGUGAAUAUAGACUACCUAUUCUUCCAUAAUCCCAACAUUUCAGCUUCCACCUUGUUCCAAAUUUUAGCACAUCUUACUGAAGUACUAAGCUCAUAAUCACCAAUUCAUUUCAAACCAUAUAACUCAUACUCAGCAUCCAAUGUAAUAUUAGUCAUCUCAUAAAACAAUAUCUUUGUAGAAACACAUAAUGGGUACCCAGCAGAUAUGCCAAUACAGAAAUCACA
Molecule: non-coding RNA, 979 nt
Organism: Pelobates cultripes (western spadefoot toad)
Lineage: Eukaryota; Metazoa; Chordata; Amphibia; Anura; Pelobatidae
Source: the annotation of a GenBank genome assembly